RNAcentral lists this ribosomal RNA (465 nucleotides) under uncultured bacterium. RNAcentral describes it as "SSU rRNA". It matches the Rfam family "Bacterial small subunit ribosomal RNA", at positions 26 to 518 of the family's 1533-position model. The record is from RNAcentral.
AGAACGAACGCUGGCGGCAUGCCUAACACAUGCAAGUCGGACGCUUUCGGGGGUUUCGGCCUCCGAGGGAGUGGCGGACGGGUGAGUAGCGCGUGGGAACCUGCCCCUUUGUGGGGGAUAACCGAGGGAAACUUCGGCUAAUACCGCAUGCGCCCGGGGGUAACUCCGGGGAAAGAUUUAUCGCAGAGGGAGGGGCCCGCGUCGGAUUAGGUAGUUGGUGGGGUAACGGCCUACCAAGCCGGUGAUCCGUAGCUGGUCUGAGAGGAUGAUCAGCCACACUGGGACUGAGACACGGCCCAGACUCCUACGGGAGGCAGCAGUGGGGAAUAUUGGACAAUGGGCGCAAGCCUGAUCCAGCAAUGCCGCGUGAGUGAUGAAGGCCUUAGGGUUGUAAAGCUCUUUCGACGGGUACGAUAAUGACGGUACCCGUAGAAGAGCCCCGGCUAACUUCGCGCCAGCAGCCGC